This 497-nucleotide ribosomal RNA is filed under the name uncultured bacterium. RNAcentral's name for it is "partial 16S ribosomal RNA". It matches the Rfam family "Bacterial small subunit ribosomal RNA", at positions 28 to 507 of the family's 1533-position model. The record is from RNAcentral.
GAUGAACGCUGGCGGCGUGCCUAAUACAUGCCAGUCGAGCGAACAGACGAGGAGCUUGCUCCUCUGACGUUAGCGGCGGACGGGUGAGUAACACGUGGAUAACCUACCUAUAAGACUGGGAUAACUUCGGGAAACCGGAGCUAAUACCGGAUAAUAUAUUGAACCGCAUGGUUCAAUAGUGAAGGACGGUUUUGCUGUCACUUAUAGAUGGAUCCGCGCCGCAUUAGCUAGUUGGUAAGGUAACGGCUUACCAAGGCAACGAUGCGUAGCCGACCUGAGAGGGUGAUCGGCCACACUGGAACUGAGACACGGUCCAGACUCCUACGGGAGGCAGCAGUAGGGAAUCUUCCGCAAUGGGCGAAAGCCUGACGGAGCAACGCCGCGUGAGUGAUGAAGGUCUUCGGAUCGUAAAACUCUGUUAUUAGGGAAGAACAAAUGUGUAAGUAACUAUGCACGCCUUGACGGUACCUAAUCAGAAAGCCACGGCUAACUACGUG